This 2077-nucleotide long non-coding RNA is filed under the name Triticum aestivum (bread wheat). RNAcentral describes it as "long non-coding RNA (TAES_LNC016904)". The record is from RNAcentral. Lineage: Eukaryota; Viridiplantae; Streptophyta; Magnoliopsida; Poales; Poaceae.
AAGAAAUUCACACAAAAAACAAACAAACAAUCGUGAUGCAUAAUGAUUCUUCCAAUAAAACAAGAAAUUCACACAAAAAACAAACAAACAAAUGUGAUGCAUAAUGAUUCUUUCCAUUCAAUCAGUGCAUCAAUAAACUCAACAGGGGCUCCCCUACUGUUCAGGGCCAAACACAAAUUCCAUCGCAAUUUCACUCCAGGUGACAAGGCUGUAGACUCGCCUGACGGCUGUAGAGGAUCGUUCCUGCCAGGCCUUGUCUCUGUGCAGGGUGGCCCAGUGGUUGUCUGACAGACACAAAUCUUUUUAUUUUUUUGCCUCUACUAACGGCACCUCUUUCAUUUCUUACCUACACAAUAUUGGUCUACAAAUAAUCAUUUCUUGCCUGCAGGAUAUUCAUCUAAAAGACUUGCUUACCUGCAGAAUAUUGGUCUAAAAGAUCUACAAAUAAAUCUGCAGUUUCAUUUUUGGGACUUCUUUAACCACAUAACCUAGUCGUAGUCUCGUUGCUCCAGAACAAUUCAACAAGAUUAGUAAUAACUAAAACUGCGACAAAACCAUUGGUAAAGCAGUAAAUGAUCCUGAUACUUCAUUUUUGGGACUUCUUUAACCACAUAACCUAGUCGUAGUCUCGUUGCUCCAGAACAAUUCAACAAGAUUAGUAAUAACUAAAACUGCGACAAAACCAUUGGUAAAGCAGUAAAUGAUCCUGAUACGCACUGGCAACUGAUGAGCGUUUCAAGCUUGAAAACAACAAAAAGAAAUGUUUGCUUGCUUGAUUUCUUCUGUGAAUCUGAAGACUCUAAACCAAUACAAAACUGAGCUGGGAUGAAGCUGGCAUGCAAGAAAUUCACACAAAAAACAAACAAACAAUCGUGAUGCAUAAUGAUUCUUCCAAUAAAACAAGAAAUUCACACAAAAAACAAACAAACAAAUGUGAUGCAUAAUGAUUCUUUCCAUUCAAUCAGUGCAUCAAUAAACUCAACAGGGGCUCCCCUACUGUUCAGGGCCAAACACAAAUUCCAUCGCAAUUUCACUCCAGGUGACAAGGCUGUAGACUCGCCUGACGGUAACGGAGCCUUCAGUUCUACAUCUCACUAAAAGAAAAAGAAAAAGAAAACUCGCUUCUAAUCCUCGACCAGCAAGACCAUUUGCUUCAAAGCAAUGAGACAUUGCUGGGAGGAAGAACUAGAUGUUCGGAGGCGACACCACAGAAUCUCUCUUCUUCUCAUUCCAAAGCCAACUGGGGAUAACUGAGCUAGAGAUUCAACCAUCAGCGGUACAGUAAAGGGACUUGGUCUGGGACUGGUGCGGGGGUUUCCCUCUGCAGGUUUCCUUCUCGACAAAUCCCGCUACAAGAAAGAUGAUAGAUAGAUUGUACAGCUUUCAGCGUUUCUUCUUAUAACUGUCCAGACGUAGCUUCAGCUGCAGAGAUAAGAAUCAAUCAGCUCAGAUUCAAACAGUGAAUACGCGGCACAAACUAAAGUAAAAUUGACGGGCCAAUGGAGCAAAACUAUGACGAUCAGGCAAUCUUGCAUGAGGCCUGGUUGAGACUUGAUGUGUGUUGAUCCUUGCCCCAGAAAAAUAAAACACACCGAGAUUAUCCAUCACAUGGACAUCAUUGUCUCUUUGCAUGACAGGCUCUCAAGAACCCAGCGAACUGGCUUACAGCACCAACAUAUUCGGUAUUACAUGAUGCCACCAUCGGCGCUCGAUCGACCCCAAACUUUGUUUGAGCAUUCAUCACUCAAGUUCUUUCAGCAGCCACCAUCAGCGGCACCUGACCUCUUGUAAGCAGCCAAAAAAAGGGGAUGGCAUGGUCACAGCAUACAGUACACAGACGGGGACAGUCAAAGGAUUGGCUUACUCGCUCACUGUGAAGGGGCACCUGAGACUGUGAUCACCUUAUACGAAAGCGCUCCAAGGUAGCUGUGCCCAUCUGCUGACCUCCCGGGCAGCACACUCGACGCCAUGAUCCUGGAUGGGAAACAUACUGGCGGUGACCCUUGGCUGUAUUUCCAUGUGCUCAAGAAAACAAGCAUUCUGCAAGAUACAGCACCCCAGUUUGACUUGAGCAAUG